CGAACCGGUACGUGCCUGUCCUCCCCAAAAAGAAAAAAAAGCCUCUGAUCCAACCCCCACCCCGUAGCCUCCCGAUCCACCUCCACCUUCCACCUCCAGGCGCCGUCUCCGUGACCCGCCGUCGCGCGCCACCCCACAACCCGCCGCUGCGCGCCACCCGCAACUCGCCGCCGCGCGCCACCCCGCAACCCCCUCCCCCGGCGCUGGCCAACGCCCAGCACCGUCUCCCUGGCGACGGCCUCCGACCGCCCCCGUCCCCCCCUGGCGACGGCCGCAGUUUACCCCCUGUCCUCCCCUAGCGCCGGCCGCAGUCCAGCCCCCGUCCUCCCCUAGCGCGGGCCGCCACCCGUCGCAUCCACACAUGGCGCCAGCCGCCCCAUCUUCCCCUGGCGUUGGCCACCGCCAGAUUUUUUCCUGUGUUGCUACAUCACUCGGGCGACAAGGAGGCGACAGUGACGACUCCAACAGAUUUUUUCUGUGUUUCUACAUCGCCGGUCCAAAUUGUGGAGAAGACACAGUCCUAGGUGUGUGGCGGCUGUGUGUGUGCAUGCUAAUUGGCGGCUGUGUGUGUGCAGGGUACAUCAAAGUCGGCAGCCAGUGUACUAGGGAGUAGUGAGAUGGAGGCAUGAAACAGUGGAGCAGACCUAGCUAGUGUGAGCAUCAAAAUACAAAGCAUAGUACAUCAGGAAAAAGCCAUCGCCGCCUCCUUUCAGCGUGCCGGCCCCGCCUCCCCACACAUGGCUUGCGAAGAGUCGGCGGUGCCGCUGAAGACGACGGAGCAGUUCUACUUCUCCGUGAUGACCAGGACGAAGUCGCUAUCUGUGCUUGGCCAUAGGGUCCACUGGGUUCCGUUCAUGAGAGAAGCAUCGCCGGCUGGGAGAGUUCAAUGAUCUGAACUAGGAAAGUUCAAUGUAGAAAUUUGCUACAGAUUACAUUACUUGAGAAUUUUUCGUGUGAUUCACGUCAUCGUUGGCCCCAUGUUCGCUGGCAAGACCACCGCGCUUCUCCGCCGGCACCGGCAGGGUACAUCCAACGACAACGAGUAGGCAACAAGUGUACUGGUGAGCAGCGGGACAGUAGCAUGAAGCACAUAAGAACUCGGCGUGCGUGGUCGUCAAUGAGCUCUCCUACAUAGUGGUCGCCCAUGAAAAAAAGGCUCAUGUCUAGCUACAUGGAGAGUUUCAAAAAUCAGAAUUGAGAAAGUGCAAACCGCCAAGAAAGUUCUUUAACAGUAAAGAAAGUCUGUGUGUUUAUAUAUUUGUGAUUUGUGCUAUGUGAGAGUUCAUAUUGUAAGAUUAUGGUGUUUGUUUUAAAGUUCAAAUUAUUAAAAGCCGUGAGGUUCACACACUGCCACAGUGGAAGUUUGUGAAUUUGGUAUAUAAAAAAGGAAAGUGUUCAUAUUAUAUGGUUAUAGUGUUUGUUCUGAAGUUCAAAUUGUUAAAGCCAUGAGGUUCACACUGUCUUUGUAAUAUUUUUUACUUUGGUAACAUAAGAUAGAAAAAGGAUUGUAGUGUUCGUUUAUAAGUUCAUAUUGUUAAAACAGCGAGGUUCAAACUGUUUCCUGAGAGAUGUACUCUCUAUGCAUUGAUAUGUUAAAG
This 1598-nucleotide ribosomal RNA is filed under the name Triticum aestivum (bread wheat). RNAcentral describes it as "partial small subunit ribosomal RNA". Lineage: Eukaryota; Viridiplantae; Streptophyta; Magnoliopsida; Poales; Poaceae. The record is from RNAcentral.